ACUUAAAUAGUUUAAGAAAAAAAUAUUAAAUUGCAAAUUUAAAGUUACAUAAAGUUUUAAGUU
This 63-nucleotide transfer RNA is filed under the name Chaetosoma scaritides. RNAcentral's name for it is "tRNA-Cys". Lineage: Eukaryota; Metazoa; Arthropoda; Insecta; Coleoptera; Chaetosomatidae. The record is from RNAcentral.